This 74-nucleotide non-coding RNA is filed under the name unclassified sequences. Its description in RNAcentral is "PRA sequence". It matches the Rfam family "Fibro-purF RNA". The record is from RNAcentral.
GUUCGUUUCCUCGCUUGCACCCGUCCGGGUGGGCUAUGACCAUAAGGUAAGGGAAACAUCCAUUCACAAGAGGC